Molecule: long non-coding RNA, 1134 nt
Organism: Columba livia (rock pigeon)
Lineage: Eukaryota; Metazoa; Chordata; Aves; Columbiformes; Columbidae
Exons: 3
Source: RefSeq, a predicted model, not a curated record
GGGCGGGUUAACGGGGUGCCCGGCGAGGCUCGGCGGGUGUGAGUCGCGCCUCUGCAAACUGAGAACUUCCUUUAUGGGAAGGUUGGGUAUUUUUUUUCCACACGUAAGAGCUGUAAAUACAGGUUUGUAACGGCUUUUAAUAACAAUACACAGAGAAGAAGAAUUUUAAAAACCCCGGGAAAUAAAAAUACCAGUCCAGAGAAUCAGGAUUGAACUUCAAGGACCCAAUCUCCUGUUUCUUUUGAAAAGCGUUCUUACACGGUGAAGUAUUUCGAUGGAGAGGUCCUGGCCCAUGCCUGACCGGUGUCAAAGCUAUUUGGCUGGCCUGACAGGUUACCUAGGAAUUCCCUCAGCCCUUUGUUAAAGUAAAGCUGAUGUGGCUGUUUUCUGCCUCCUCCCCUGUGGUUCCCGUUGCGUGAAGUAAACACGGCAUGGCCAGAGGGCAGGUGAGCUUUGACCAGCCCUGGCUGCUGAAGUGGUGUCUGGGCAGUGCUCCGGUGGGUGGAAUUCAAUUUAAGGAAGUUUAAUAACCUUGUGAAUAGUCAACGUGCUGCCCUCGUCCUAGAUGAGGCAAAACCUGUGGUCAGAGCAUGUAGAAAAUGGCAAGUUCCUCAUGAUCCCCACCCCUCGUCCUCCCCAAAUUCAAACUUGGCUCAACAGCUCUAGAGGAUCCCACUGGUAGCAAUAAUUUGGUAAAUAAAAUACAAAAAGAGGGAUUCCUUGUCCAGUAUGUUGGCCUAUGGUGUGAGUGUGUUUGAAAAGCCUGUAUAGCUUGUAUAUUUACACAGAAAGCCAGGCUGAGCUCAGGUAAAUAAUUACUGCUAAAACGCUAUUACUUUCAGUAAAUACAAGCUAAUGUUUGCUGCUCUACACAGUAUUUACUGAGGAAGCCAGAAGAACCAGAACCAAUGUUUGUUCCCUGGGAGGAUUUCAUACCAACUGCCUGAAAUACACCUGUGCAUUGCUUCACGUGCUCUCCCUGUAACUGGUGCUCUGCCGCCUCUUGGUAUAAAGGGAAUGGCAUCACCAGCAGAGAGCACACUGGAACCUCAGAACAAAAGAAAACAGAAAAAUCAAUAGCAUAUUUUAACAAUGCAAGCCUGAAACAAAUAAAAAUACAUCUGAAAUAAAUCA